ACUGACUAUUAGACUACCCGGUAGUCCCAGCCGUAAACUAUGCGCGUUAGGUGUAUCGGUGACCACGAGUUACCGAGGUGCCGAAGGGAACCGUGAAACGUGCCGCCUGGGAAGUACGGUCGCAAGGCUGAAACUUAAAGGAAUUGGCGGGGAGCACCACAACAGGUGGAGCCUGCGGUUUAAUUGGAUUCAACGCCGGACAGGCUCACCGGGAACGACAGCAAUAUGUAGGCCAGGCUGAAGACCUUGCCUGAAUCGCUG
RNAcentral lists this ribosomal RNA (261 nucleotides) under uncultured archaeon. RNAcentral describes it as "partial 16S ribosomal RNA". It matches the Rfam family "Archaeal small subunit ribosomal RNA", at positions 723 to 982 of the family's 1478-position model. The record is from RNAcentral.